This is a long non-coding RNA of Medicago truncatula (barrel medic), 1092 nucleotides long. RefSeq lists it as uncharacterized. The transcript has 2 exons. Lineage: Eukaryota; Viridiplantae; Streptophyta; Magnoliopsida; Fabales; Fabaceae. The record is from RefSeq and is a predicted model, not a curated record.
ACAAACUUUAGAUGACGUGGCAACGUGUGAUAGGAUAAGAUUACGUGGAAUCUAUAAAAUGAAAGACAUAAAAAAGGUUAAAAUUAGGGUAAUUCACCACAACUUCAUGUCUCUUCUCGAGAGUUCAUCAUCUUCAUCUCUAAUCUUCUACAUCUGUGAAAAUAUCAUGAAGUAGAAUUUGAUCUUCGAGUGGGACAUCUAGGCAAGACACGCUUCCUUUGUGUUGGUGUGGACUACUUCCGAGGAUGUACCACCAUUGAAAAUACAUACCGCAAGUUCUUGAGACGCAUUAAAUGGAGUAAGAGUGAUGAGUAAAUUGUUCAUAUAAGAAGAUGAAUUUGACGCAUAAACAACACCCGCAAGAGAUGUUUCAUACACAAUGGAAGUUGAAAAAAUUGGAACUGAAAUGAUGCGAUUCAUGUAAGCUUUUUCAUGAAAUUUAAAUUGAUUUAUUGUUAUGCAUUUAUUUGUUUUCAUUAACGCUAACUAAAUUUAUUAGUUGUUUUGUACAGGGUUAAAGAUCUCAUCUCAGAGAGUGUAUAAGGACCUUGAUGAUGAUUCUUGUGCUGAUUGUGGAGAUGGGGGAGAUCUAAUUUGCUGUGAUAGCAGUUCUUUCAGUUUUUCAUCAAAGUUUUCUGGAUAUAGUAGAUAGUCUACUAGAAGGUGGUAGACUAUCUGUUAUAUCCAGACAACUUUGAUGAAAAGCUGGGAGGACAACUAUCACAGCAAAUUAAAUCUCCCCGUCUCCACAAACACCACAUGAAUCAUCAUUAAAAUUCUUAUACACUCUCUGAGAUGACAUAUCCAUUUUGAUAAGAUCCUUAGCCCUCUACAAAACAAUUAGUAAAUUUAGUUAGCGUUAACGAAAACAAAUGCAUAACAAUAAAUCAAUUUAAAUUUCACGAAAAAAGCUUACAUGAACCACAACAUUUUCGUUCCAAUUUUUUCAACAAUUUCUCUUUUCAUUGCUUCUUCUCCGCCGCUUUCUCAUUCACCGCAUUACUUCUAGGUUUGCUCCGAUCUGUUCAUCAUUCUUUUUCGUUCUUUUUUCACGUUUUUUUUUAUUAAUUUCGUGAAUUAUUGUUAUUAUCA